This 536-nucleotide unclassified non-coding RNA is filed under the name Hevea brasiliensis (rubber tree). Lineage: Eukaryota; Viridiplantae; Streptophyta; Magnoliopsida; Malpighiales; Euphorbiaceae. The record is from RNAcentral.
GUGAUUGUUCCCAUUUGUUCACUGUUUCUUAAUAGGUAUUUGAAUGAAAAACGGGGUUUGCCUUUUCUUUGAACUUUUUUUGGUUCUUGAUCUUUAAUCUAUAUUAUGAAAAUAAUGGUGAUGCCUGGUGGCUAGUUAAAUGUUCAAUGCCCAUUCAUUAUUGCUUCUGAAUAUUGUUUUCACUGUGUAACGGUAUUUCAAACAUUUUAGAAGAUUGGGAGUUUCUCUUACUUUAAUCUGUUUUUCGGCCAUUUUCCAUCAAAUAAGUUAGCAUAGGAGAUGGUGUUGGUUUCUUUUAAGACUCCACAGCCAAGGAAUUCGAUGAUAUUGCCUAAUUUCGGUCAGACUGGAUGUGUUAUUAUUUGUAGUAUUAUAGCUACUUCCUCUGUUUUGGGCAAAUGGUGUGAAAGAAAAUAUUGGGUUUUUGUGCCUACCUUACUUUUUGUUUAAGUAUCCAGCUGCUUGCCUGCUUGUGGUUUAGCUUAUCUGUUCACUUGGAUGUGUAUGAAGGCACUUUGGGUAUUCUGAGAUUUCAA